This 186-nucleotide ribosomal RNA is filed under the name Drosophila comatifemora. RNAcentral's name for it is "partial 16S ribosomal RNA". Lineage: Eukaryota; Metazoa; Arthropoda; Insecta; Diptera; Drosophilidae. The record is from RNAcentral.
UUAGAUUUUAUUUAUUAAUUUUGUUUAUUUGUGUUUAAAAUAUUAAAAAUAAUUGUAAAAUAAAAAUGUUUUAGUAUUGUUUAAAGAAAAAAUAAAUUUAAUAAUAGUUUAAUAGUAUUGUAAAAGAAAAUUGAAAUAAUUUGAAAAAUUUUUAUUUAAAAAAGAAAAUUUAAUUUAUUGUACCUU